Microcebus murinus (gray mouse lemur) is the source of this 805-nucleotide long non-coding RNA. RefSeq lists it as uncharacterized. NCBI's taxonomy places the organism in Eukaryota, Metazoa, Chordata, Mammalia, Primates, Cheirogaleidae. The record is from RefSeq and is a predicted model, not a curated record.
CAUGGGGGCAGAAGGCAGAGCAAAGUCAUUGGCGGGCCUCGCCGUCACAUGAUCAAGACCUGGCCAGUCAGAGCAUCCUGCUCCCCUGACUGCAGUGAUUGGCCCGGGGCUGCACGUGGGACCCAGGCUGGUGCGGUGGCGGCAGCCGCAGGAGUCUGGCCUGAGCGUCGGGAGGGACGCCCCUCCUGCCGGGUGGCCGCCACGGAGGCCUGCCCUGCCACUCCAGGAGGACGUCAGCCCGAGAGCGAAGCUGACAGAGAGGCAAGGCGAGCCCAGAGCUGGGGCGGGAGUCCGCCAGAGCCCUCAGCGUCCCAGGAUGGAGCUGAGCUUCAUGCGAAUUCUCUUUUCCCGCUGAGCCAGCCUGAGCGUCCCUGUCUCAGCUGAUGGCAAGUGCCCAAGAUGUUGGGAGAGAAGGGCCCUAACCAAGACGCCAGGGACAAUUGAGAGCUAAGAUGGUUCCCACUGGAAAACUGUUAUCUGCAACACCUGUUGAAAACCACUGCCAUCAAGGCAGGGGCCAAGAGAACCAGCACGAUGGGUGUGGAGGCUUGAAGUCCAGCCUGGAUGGACCCCAGAAAUCAGAGACUCUGACGUUUUCCCCAAGGUCGCACAGCUCUCAAGAGCAGACGUGGAGUUGACCCCAGGCACACCCUGACAGAUUCCAAAGCCAAGGCUUCCCAUCACCUUUUGUCACCGUCUUGGGUCAGAUAAAUAAAUUACUCCAAAACUGCCUCCUAAACUCUAGAAAGAGAAGCAAAGCCAGUGUGAAUAAACAUCGUCGUGUCUGUUCCAGCACCGGCAUUAA